This 185-nucleotide small RNA is filed under the name Rubrivivax gelatinosus. Its description in RNAcentral is "Manganese sequence". It matches the Rfam family "Manganese Mn2+ riboswitch aptamer (yybP-ykoY)". Rfam says of the family: This RNA was originally discovered in E. coli during a large scale screen and was named SraF. Lineage: Bacteria; Pseudomonadati; Pseudomonadota; Betaproteobacteria; Burkholderiales; Sphaerotilaceae. The record is from RNAcentral.
GCACUCGUCAUCGGGGAGUAGCCGCCCUGCCGCCCGGCAGGGGUCCGCGCCAACACGCUUGGCCCUUCACGGGCCAUGGUCCGGACAGCUCCCAGCCUGGCAAGACCGUUGACUGCGCCGACUUCCGCAUUCGGGCCGGGGUCGCGGCGUGGUCACGUUCCGGUUUGCCGGCCCGCAUCGGAUUU